RNAcentral lists this long non-coding RNA (2161 nucleotides) under Equus asinus (donkey). RNAcentral describes it as "lncRNA (ENSEASG00005037862.1)". Lineage: Eukaryota; Metazoa; Chordata; Mammalia; Perissodactyla; Equidae. The record is from RNAcentral.
CUUUGUCACUGCUCCAUGCUCUGUGAUGCAGGCCUGGAACAUUCUAGAAUACAGCACACAUCUCAGUGCCCUGUUGUCUGAGGCAGUAGUGAGCUUCAGGCCUCAGAUGAUGGACACCUAUCUCCUUUCUGAGGAGAGUGAGUGAGCCACGGGUCAUCAAUUCCAUCAUUUACUUCCUGUGUGUGGCUAGGCUCCUCCUUCUGUCAUCCUUCUUCCAAAACGGAGCCAUUUGCUACCAGUCUUCAGAAUAAAGGAGACAUCAACCAGGGAAUCUAAAAACUUAUAUCCCAUGCCUUUUCUGGGAAAGUUACUACAGAUGUGCUUCAGAAAAAUGAUGAAGAAAAUGAAGAGAAGAGCCUCGAGGACUGUGAGGAAACAAAUUUCUGGUGUUUAAGCGGCCCAGUCUGUGACACUUUGUUAUGGCGGCCCGAGCAGACUAAUACAACUGGGAAAGAGGUCACAGGUACAAGGGUAGAGGAGAUUAGAGGAGUGAGAACACAGCAGGGGACAAGACCAGAGUAAGAGACUGAUGAUGGGGCUAAUACAAAAUGAAGUGACCAGGUUUAAGGACCUGAAGGAAAGCAGCAACGAUGGUGACGGAGAGAAAGAGACGGAUGUGAGAGACACUGUCAACAAAUCAAAUGGGAUGUGUAAGAGGGUGGAUGUAUUGAAUGAGCAUGAUGGUUGGGACACAGAGGAGUCCCGUUACAUCAAGAGAUGGAUAACAGUCAGUGCACAAGUAGUGCUUGGACUUCCCCAAGAGGCUGGAGAGCAGAGCAGUCCCAGAAAUAACUUGGUACCCUGCUCGGCACCACCAGAGGCGAGGACACUGGGGAACACACAGUGUGAGCUACUUGCCGAGAUGCUGCUGCUGGUGACUAGCAGAGCGAGAUUCAACAUGCUGUCUGGCUCCAGAGCCACACUCCUGAACCACUAAACUGUGCUGCCAAAAAUGUCACGGCGCCUGGAGAACGCGUCUCAGUCAAGUAAAACUAGAUUCUGGAAGAAUAACCACUCACCUCCACAGGGCCCUUUGCCUGUGGCUUCCAUGUGCCCUUUGUUUACAUCUUCUCACUUGCUGCUCAGAACGUGAUGAGGCCGUGAGGCUCAGAGCGGGAAGGGGCUGGCGUGAGGACCACAGCUGGAAGGGCAGAGGCAGGUCUGAGUCCAGACCAAAUCAAGGACCAUUCUUGUCCUCUAAUUUUUCAUGGGGAAACUGAGGCCAGGAGGGGUUAAACGAAUUACAUUGCCCCUCCAUCCAGUGGGUUUCGUUCACGGCUGGGUCUAAUCUGUCCUCAGUCAGGGCCUGUGUCUGGACUGAAUGGUCAGAGGCCACUCAACUCUUUAGACUCUUUGGUGAAGUGUGGGACCUUGGUUGCCCUUGUGCUGGUGACAGGAGGUUACCAGGUACCCAGGAACCCAGGCAGGUGCAGGAGGAGGAAGAAAGGACAACAGGGAGAUGUGUGCAGCACAGGGUGAGCAAGGCAGAGGCCUCUGUGCAUUUGCCGCCCGGUAGGGGACGACCUGUCAGCCCCUGACCUUCAGGGACAGCCCACAACAGCCUUGGCAUCAAGGUGUCAGUUGGACUGCGCCCCAUUCUGGUAUUCAGGGUCCUCUUCCAAGCUCAAGUGGUGGCUGGUGGCAGAAUUCAGUUCCUUGGGAGACCAGAAUUGAGGGCCCUAUUUUCUUGCUGGCUAUUAGCCAGAGACUAGAGGUCACCUUCAGGUCCUUACCACAGGCCUCUCCAUAGGCCCUCUCACAAUAUAUCAAUUUUCAUUUCAAGACCAGUAGAAGAAAUUUAUUUCAGUUUUUGAACUUGUUCCUUCAGGGAGGGCCCAGCCCCUUUUAAGGACUCAAGUGAUUCUGUCAGGCCCCCCCAAAUAAUCUUUUGAUCAAAUUAGUGACCUUAACUACAUCUGGAAAAUCCUUUCUCCUUAUAACAUAAUCAUGGAAGUGAUAUCCCAUCAUAUUCAUGAGUCCCUCUCACACUCACAGGGAGGGAAUUAUAUAGAACAUGUACCCCAGGGAGUCAGGAAUCUGGGCGCCAUGUUAGAAUUCUGCUUAUCACAUCAGAUGAUGCUAUCGAUUCUGGUCCAGGGACCUCAUUUGAGAACCACUACUUUAACAGAGCUACUAAAUAAAUAUGAACAUUUAUGUGACU